This 250-nucleotide ribosomal RNA is filed under the name uncultured bacterium. RNAcentral describes it as "partial 16S ribosomal RNA". It matches the Rfam family "Bacterial small subunit ribosomal RNA", at positions 524 to 771 of the family's 1533-position model. The record is from RNAcentral.
UACGUAGGGUGCAAGCAUUAAUCGGAAUUAUUGGGCGUAAAGGGCGCGUAGGCGGAUUUAUAAGUCAGUUGUGAAAUUCCAAGGCUCACCCUUGGAACUGCAUUUGAUACUGUAAAUCUUUAGAGGAAUGGCGGAGAAAACGGAAUUCCACAUGUAGCGGUGAAAUGCGUGGAUAUGUGGAGGAACACCUGUGGCGAAAGCGGUUUUCUGGCUUUUUCCUGACGCUGAGGCGCGAGAGCAAGGGGAGCAA